RNAcentral lists this transfer RNA (69 nucleotides) under Trogoderma variabile. RNAcentral's name for it is "tRNA-Gln". The record is from RNAcentral. Lineage: Eukaryota; Metazoa; Arthropoda; Insecta; Coleoptera; Dermestidae.
UACAAUUUAGUAUAUGAUGUACAUAGAUUUUUGAUGUUUAAGGGGAUAGUUUAAUUCUGUCAAUUGUAA